Molecule: microRNA, 23 nt
Filed under: Sus scrofa (pig)
Lineage: Eukaryota; Metazoa; Chordata; Mammalia; Artiodactyla; Suidae
Description: ssc-mir8
Source: RNAcentral
UUUGCUCUGCUCCUGCCACAUGC